This 62-nucleotide transfer RNA is filed under the name Marmota marmota marmota (Alpine marmot). It matches the Rfam family "tRNA". Rfam says of the family: Transfer RNA (tRNA) molecules are approximately 80 nucleotides in length. Their secondary structure includes four short double-helical elements and three loops (D, anti-codon, and T loops). The record is from Rfam by way of RNAcentral. Lineage: Eukaryota; Metazoa; Chordata; Mammalia; Rodentia; Sciuridae. RNAcentral also lists the same sequence under 2 other names.
GUGGCUGUGGCUCAGUGGUAGAGCACUUGCAUGAGGUACUGGGUUCGAUCCUCAGCACCACA